Fukomys damarensis (Damara mole-rat) is the source of this 464-nucleotide long non-coding RNA. RefSeq lists it as uncharacterized. Lineage: Eukaryota; Metazoa; Chordata; Mammalia; Rodentia; Bathyergidae. The record is from RefSeq and is a predicted model, not a curated record. The transcript has 3 exons.
UGCUCCUGUUCCAGGGCUAGGGAUGGGGUCCUCCAAAACUAAGCCAAUCAGGAGCCCACAUGGAGCCCCUAAUACCACCAUGGGGUGAAUCGCAGGAGGAUGGCACAGCAAGGAUGGGAUUAGUCAGGAGACAGAGGCCAGCAACCAAGAAAACAAGGCAGGUUUGGAAGCUACACAGCUGCUUCAUGCUUCCCCCUGGGUGGGAACUCUGGCCCCUGAGCACCCGAUUCCCCACUCUAGGAUCAUGCAGAAGCACACACCCAAGUUUGCAAGACCUGCACUAUCUCUUUUAAGCAUCAGCACAUGCUGGUCCGUCCCCACCCCAGGGUCUAGAGAGACCACAGAGAAGUGGCCCCCGCACUGCCCUGCCAGUUCCAGGCUGCUCAUCCCAACUCCAGCUUCUUCAUCUCCAGGGCUGGUGCCGGCACUGCCGGCUGGCUUCUCCGGAGCGCAGACAGGGAGCG